AUUCCCCAGCAACACAUAUAUAGAAAAUGGCCAGAAGUGGCGCUGUGGCUCAAGGACUAGAGGAAUAUGAGUUAACAAUUGUGGUUGGUCAGCCACUCAUGGAUAACCAAGAACUGGAUCCAGGGAUUCAACAUCCAAAAAUUUAAGUACAGUUCUAAAGUGAUCAUAUACCAGCA
Long non-coding RNA from Perognathus longimembris pacificus (Pacific pocket mouse), 176 nucleotides. RefSeq lists it as uncharacterized. The record is from RefSeq and is a predicted model, not a curated record. The transcript has 2 exons. NCBI's taxonomy places the organism in Eukaryota, Metazoa, Chordata, Mammalia, Rodentia, Heteromyidae.